GCAAGCCUGAUCCAGCCAUGCCGCGUGAGUGAUGAAGGCCCUAGGGUUGUAAAGCUCUUUCACCGGUGAAGAUAAUGACGGUAACCGGAGAAGAAGCCCCGGCUAACUUCGUGCCAGCAGCCGCGGUAAUACGAAGGGGGCUAGCGUUGUUCGGAAUUACUGGGCGUAAAGCGCACGUAGGCGGAUUGUUAAGUGAGGGGUGAAAUCCCAGGGCUCAACCCUGGAACUGCCUUUCAUACUGGCAAUCUAGAGUCCAGAAGAGGUGAGUGGAAUUCCGANUGUAGAGGUGAAANUNGUNGAUAUUNGGAGGAACACCAGUGGCGAAGGCGGCUCACUGGUCUGGCUAC
RNAcentral lists this ribosomal RNA (347 nucleotides) under Sinorhizobium medicae. Its description in RNAcentral is "bacterial SSU rRNA". It matches the Rfam family "Bacterial small subunit ribosomal RNA", at positions 377 to 740 of the family's 1533-position model. The record is from RNAcentral. Lineage: Bacteria; Pseudomonadati; Pseudomonadota; Alphaproteobacteria; Hyphomicrobiales; Rhizobiaceae.